Molecule: long non-coding RNA, 867 nt
Organism: Spinacia oleracea (spinach)
Lineage: Eukaryota; Viridiplantae; Streptophyta; Magnoliopsida; Caryophyllales; Amaranthaceae
Exons: 2
Source: RefSeq, a predicted model, not a curated record
UUAAGUUCACUCGCUCUAUAUAUUCAGAAGCCCUAUAAAUACAUAAGUUACAUUGAACAUAAUGAAAGUUGUGGAGGGUAGCUUAUGAAAGCUCUUACUCCAAGCAAAUAGUAAUAUUUAGUUGCAUGCAUGGGUGCCAUGUAGAGCAUGCAUGAAGAGGUAAAAUGUUCACAAUGCAGCCAAGGAUGACUUGCCGGAUUUUAUUAAUAUUAGCAUAAUGUUAUAAUAUGUGUCGGCAAGUUGUCCUUGGCUACAUUGGGUUCUUUUCUUUUUCAUGUAUGCUCUAAUUUGGUUUUAUUAUCUAAUGAUUAGUUCCUAAUUAAUCAAGCUAGGAAAAACAACCAUGCAUGCAUGAUGAUCACUAGGACCCGCUAUGAUGAUCGAAUCGAUAAUGAGUGAUUAAUGCAAAUCGAUCAAUAAUUAGCAGAGAAAAAUAAUAAGGGCCGGAGGCUAUGAGUGAAAGAGGAACUUGGAGGACGCUUUCUUGAAGCCGCGCCAUAUCGCGCGGAUGAUGGGUCCUUGCCCGCACCCUAGCAGUUUCAACUCAGCAAAACCUGCGAGUGCGGGUUCCUGCACGGCUGAAUCUUUGUUUUUGUUUCUAGGUCGUUUUUAGAUCGACGUAAUUUGUUUAUGAUCUUUGGAUUGUAAUAUGUACCCUAACACUAUAUAUACUCAUUGUAUGUCAUAUCUAGAAAUAAGUUGUUGAUUUAAGAGAAAAAAAUUACUCAUAGAAUUAAAGCUCAUACACUAAUUAAAGUUUAAGUGAGAGAAAGUCGUGAGGUGAAGUUUGCUUAGCUUGAUAAUCUCUUUGUAAAUUGAUCUUUAAAUUAUCAUAAUUUCUAGUGGAUUGAUGGGUUCUCCUUCCGA